GCCGCCGAACGAGGACGAAGUCAUCUGCUACAUCCUCAUCGGGCUAGAUAUGGAGUAUCAGCCCCUCGUGUCGGCCCUCGACGCCCGCACUGAACUAGUCACCCUCGGCGAUCUCUGUGCUCAGAUGAGCAACUUUGAUC
This is a non-coding RNA of Hordeum vulgare subsp. vulgare (domesticated barley), 140 nucleotides long. NCBI's taxonomy places the organism in Eukaryota, Viridiplantae, Streptophyta, Magnoliopsida, Poales, Poaceae. The record is from Rfam.